Molecule: small nucleolar RNA, 82 nt
Filed under: Schizosaccharomyces pombe (fission yeast)
Lineage: Eukaryota; Fungi; Ascomycota; Schizosaccharomycetes; Schizosaccharomycetales; Schizosaccharomycetaceae
Source: RNAcentral
UUUAAUGAUGAUACACUGUCUCAUGCACCACUCUCAGACAUUUAUUUGUCAGUGAAGAGGAACAGACCCUUUAUUUCUGAAA